This is a long non-coding RNA of Lutra lutra (Eurasian river otter), 362 nucleotides long. RefSeq lists it as uncharacterized. The transcript is spliced from 3 exons. The record is from RefSeq and is a predicted model, not a curated record. NCBI's taxonomy places the organism in Eukaryota, Metazoa, Chordata, Mammalia, Carnivora, Mustelidae.
CAGGACAGCAUGUGAUGGGGGUCAGGCAGAUGCAGUGUAGAUGGGGGAUUAUCUCAUUGCCAAUGAGCUUCCUGAGGGGCAUGAAUCAGCCCUGUACCUAGGUUCCCUGCUGUCUCAUGGCUGUCCUUGAACCAAUUAUGGGGAGCCUAAAGAUUCUUGGAAUAACAGUUUGAAAACCACAAAUGGAGUCCUAUUCUUUGGGUUUAUGAACAAGGAAUCUGUGACCCAAGCCAGUGCUAAGUGAACUGGUUCCCUGGAUUAAGGAUUGCACCUGGCCAGUUUAAGAACAUGAUAAUUUCAAGGAACAAUAUUAUGUGAUUUCUAUCUACAGUGCUUUGAAGCAAAAGAAUUAAAGUCAUGAA